Molecule: ribosomal RNA, 1911 nt
Filed under: Salmonella enterica
Lineage: Bacteria; Pseudomonadati; Pseudomonadota; Gammaproteobacteria; Enterobacterales; Enterobacteriaceae
Description: partial 23S ribosomal RNA
Rfam family: Bacterial large subunit ribosomal RNA
Source: RNAcentral
UGUUUCGGCUAGGGGGCCAUCCCGGCUUACCAACCCGAUGCAAACUGCGAAUACCGGAGAAUGUUAUCACGGGAGACACACGGCGGGUGCUAACGUCCGUCGUGAAGAGGGAAACAACCCAGACCGCCAGCUAAGGUCCCAAAGUCAUGGUUAAGUGGGAAACGAUGUGGGAAGGCCCAGACAGCCAGGAUGUUGGCUUAGAAGCAGCCAUCAUUUAAAGAAAGCGUAAUAGCUCACUGGUCGAGUCGGCCUGCGCGGAAGAUGUAACGGGGCUAAACCAUGCACCGAAGCUGCGGCAGCGACACUCAGGUGUUGUUGGGUAGGGGAGCGUUCUGUAAGCCUGUGAAGGUGGCCUGUGAGGGUUGCUGGAGGUAUCAGAAGUGCGAAUGCUGACAUAAGUAACGAUAAAGCGGGUGAAAAGCCCGCUCGCCGGAAGACCAAGGGUUCCUGUCCAACGUUAAUCGGGGCAGGGUGAGUCGACCCCUAAGGCGAGGCCGAAAGGCGUAGUCGAUGGGAAACGGGUUAAUAUUCCCGUACUUGGUGUUACUGCGAAGGGGGGACGGAGAAGGCUAUGUUGGCCGGGCGACGGUUGUCCCGGUUUAAGCGUGUAGGUGUGUGUUCCAGGUAAAUCCGGUUCACUUUAACACUGAGGCGUGACGACGAGGCACUACGGUGCUGAAGCAACAAAUGCCCUGCUUCCAGGAAAAGCCUCUAAGCAUCAGGUAACAUCAAAUCGUACCCCAAACCGACACAGGUGGUCAGGUAGAGAAUACCAAGGCGCUUGAGAGAACUCGGGUGAAGGAACUAGGCAAAAUGGUGCCGUAACUUCGGGAGAAGGCACGCUGACAUGUAGGUGAAGUGAUUUACUCAUGGAGCUGAAGUCAGUCGAAGAUACCAGCUGGCUGCAACUGUUUAUUAAAAACACAGCACUGUGCAAACACGAAAGUGGACGUAUACGGUGUGACGCCUGCCCGGUGCCGGAAGGUUAAUUGAUGGGGUCAGCGCAAGCGAAGCUCCUGAUCGAAGCCCCGGUAAACGGCGGCCGUAACUAUAACGGUCCUAAGGUAGCGAAAUUCCUUGUCGGGUAAGUUCCGACCUGCACGAAUGGCGUAAUGAUGGCCAGGCUGUCUCCACCCGAGACUCAGUGAAAUUGAACUCGCUGUGAAGAUGCAGUGUACCCGCGGCAAGACGGAAAGACCCCGUGAACCUUUACUAUAGCUUGACACUGAACAUUGAGCCUUGAUGUGUAGGAUAGGUGGGAGGCUUUGAAGUGUGGACGCCAGUCUGCAUGGAGCCGACCUUGAAAUACCACCCUUUAAUGUUUGAUGUUCUAACGUGGACCCGUGAUCCGGGUUGCGGACAGUGUCUGGUGGGUAGUUUGACUGGGGCGGUCUCCUCCUAAAGAGUAACGGAGGAGCACGAAGGUUGGCUAAUCCUGGUCGGACAUCAGGAGGUUAGUGCAAUGGCAUAAGCCAGCUUGACUGCGAGCGUGACGGCGCGAGCAGGUGCGAAAGCAGGUCAUAGUGAUCCGGUGGUUCUGAAUGGAAGGGCCAUCGCUCAACGGAUAAAAGGUACUCCGGGGAUAACAGGCUGAUACCGCCCAAGAGUUCAUAUCGACGGCGGUGUUUGGCACCUCGAUGUCGGCUCAUCACAUCCUGGGGCUGAAGUAGGUCCCAAGGGUAUGGCUGUUCGCCAUUUAAAGUGGUACGCGAGCUGGGUUUAGAACGUCGUGAGACAGUUCGGUCCCUAUCUGCCGUGGGCGCUGGAGAACUGAGGGGGGCUGCUCCUAGUACGAGAGGACCGGAGUGGACGCAUCACUGGUGUUCGGGUUGUCAUGCCAAUGGCACUGCCCGGUAGCUAAAUGCGGAAGAGAUAAGUGCUGAAAGCAUCUAAGCACGAAACUUGCCCCGA